GAAGUACUCCCUCCGUCCCAUAAUUCUUGUCUUAUAUUUGUCUAAAGAUGAAUGUAUCUAGUCACAUUUUAGUAUUUAGAUACAUAUAUUUUUAGACAAAUCUAAGACAAGANUUUUGGGACGGAGGGAGUAAUAA
This is a non-coding RNA of Hordeum vulgare subsp. vulgare (domesticated barley), 136 nucleotides long. The record is from Rfam. NCBI's taxonomy places the organism in Eukaryota, Viridiplantae, Streptophyta, Magnoliopsida, Poales, Poaceae.